GAGAAGAGAACGAGGAUGCACAAAGUGCGAAGUCUACAGGAAGUAAAACCUAUGCUCUGAUUCCAAAUUGACAGGACCCGACCCAAUUUCCACUUUGGAAUUCGAGCCAAGUCCUGUGCGUGUCCGACACCUGACAAAUGUCGGGCACAAAUGACCUUCUUACCCUUCUGACUUCAAUUUCUCUUUAAAUUUCCUCAGAUUUCUGCCGAAAAUUCGGCAGAACCUCCCCUGUAUUUUUGAUUUAUCCCAAAAUUUUCACCUGUCAAAUAAUCUCAGAAACCCUACCAACAGCCAGACUAAGUCAAAAAACAGAUUCCAACCUCAAUUCCUUAUGUUCAACAUGAUAUCAGAGCAUUUUCUAGGGUUUUCAAGGUUGCAAGGAUCUUUUGCAAAACUUUACCUUGGCGCAGAAACUAUGAUUGGCCCGGUGGUGGAUCCCGCGUACUUCUACGGCCUGGGGGCGAAAAACAGGUUGAAAAUGUGAGUGGACCAAAGCAACAAUAAUGUUCUUCAAAACAAUUCUCAUAAACAUAAUAUCCCCCAUGGUAAAAUAAAUUUAGCUAAAUAAAAAUGAAUACUUACUUAUUAUAUCACGCGUAGUCAAUUCAAGGCAUUCUAUAUCAGUCAUAUUCAAACUUGAAAGUUUCAUACAAACCACUGAAUUCAAAGCUUUCAUAAAAGUACUGAAAU
This 690-nucleotide long non-coding RNA is filed under the name Prunus dulcis (almond). RNAcentral's name for it is "sRNA ncRNA". Lineage: Eukaryota; Viridiplantae; Streptophyta; Magnoliopsida; Rosales; Rosaceae. The record is from RNAcentral.